Molecule: small nuclear RNA, 102 nt
Organism: Balaenoptera acutorostrata (minke whale)
Lineage: Eukaryota; Metazoa; Chordata; Mammalia; Artiodactyla; Balaenopteridae
Source: RefSeq, a predicted model, not a curated record
UUGUUUUGGCACCACAUAUACUAAAAUUGAGACAGUACACAGAGAACAGAAUGGCCCCUGUGCAAAGAUGACAUGCAAAUCUGUGAGGCAUUCCAUAUUUUU